GCUGUUAUAGCUCAGUGGUAGAGCACUUCCUUGGUAAGGAAGAGGUCCUGGGUUCAAAUCCCAGUAACAGCUC
Molecule: transfer RNA, 73 nt
Filed under: termite gut metagenome
Description: tRNA-Thr
Rfam family: tRNA
About the family: Transfer RNA (tRNA) molecules are approximately 80 nucleotides in length. Their secondary structure includes four short double-helical elements and three loops (D, anti-codon, and T loops).
Source: RNAcentral